GCAUCGGUGGCUUAGUGGUAGAAUGCUCGCCUGCCACGCGGGCGGCCCGGGUUCGAUUCCCGGUCGAUGCA
RNAcentral lists this transfer RNA (71 nucleotides) under Cordylochernes scorpioides. Its description in RNAcentral is "tRNA-Gly". It matches the Rfam family "tRNA". Rfam says of the family: Transfer RNA (tRNA) molecules are approximately 80 nucleotides in length. Their secondary structure includes four short double-helical elements and three loops (D, anti-codon, and T loops). Further hydrogen bonds mediate the characteristic L-shaped molecular structure. tRNAs have two regions of fundamental functional importance: the anti-codon, which is responsible for specific mRNA codon recognition, and the 3' end, to which the tRNAs corresponding amino acid is attached (by aminoacyl-tRNA synthetases). tRNAs cope with the degeneracy of the genetic code in two manners: having more than one tRNA (with a specific anti-codon) for a particular amino acid; and 'wobble' base-pairing, i.e. permitting non-standard base-pairing at the 3rd anti-codon position. The record is from RNAcentral. Lineage: Eukaryota; Metazoa; Arthropoda; Arachnida; Pseudoscorpiones; Chernetidae.